This 550-nucleotide ribosomal RNA is filed under the name uncultured archaeon. RNAcentral's name for it is "bacterial SSU rRNA". It matches the Rfam family "Archaeal small subunit ribosomal RNA", at positions 329 to 879 of the family's 1478-position model. The record is from RNAcentral.
CGUGCACCAGGCGCGAAAACUUUACAAUGCGGGAAACCGUGAUAAGGGGACACCGAGUGCCAGCAUCAUAUGCUGGCUGUCCAGGUGUGUAAAAUACACCUGUUAGCAAGGGCCGGGCAAGACCGGUGCCAGCCGCCGCGGUAACACCGGCGGCCCGAGUGGUGAUCGUGAUUAUUGGGUCUAAAGGGUCCGUAGCCGGUUUGGUCAGUCCUCCGGGAAAUCUGAUAGCUCAACUAUUAGGCUUUCGGGGGAUACUGCCAGACUUGGAACCGGGAGAGGUAAGAGGUACUACAGGGGUAGGAGUGAAAUCUUGUAAUCCCUGUGGGACCACCUGUGGCGAAGGCGUCUUACCAGAACGGGUUCGACGGUGAGGGACGAAAGCUGGGGGCACGAACCGGAUUAGAUACCCGGGUAGUCCCAGCCGUAAACGAUGCUCGCUAGGUGUCAGACAUGGCGCGACCGUGUCUGGUGCCGCAGGGAAGCCGUGAAGCGAGCCACCUGGGAAGUACGGCCGCAAGGCUGAAACUUAAAGGAAUUGGCGGGGGAGCAC